CCCUGACAAGUGCCUCAAAAGGA
RNAcentral lists this non-coding RNA (23 nucleotides) under Arabidopsis thaliana (thale cress). Lineage: Eukaryota; Viridiplantae; Streptophyta; Magnoliopsida; Brassicales; Brassicaceae. The record is from RNAcentral.